UGCUCCGGUGGCCGAGUAGUUAUAGCUUCCGCCUCAAAUGUGGGUGGUCGUGGGUUCGAUCCCAGACCUAGUCAU
This is a non-coding RNA of Potamilus streckersoni, 75 nucleotides long. Lineage: Eukaryota; Metazoa; Mollusca; Bivalvia; Unionida; Unionidae. The record is from the annotation of a GenBank genome assembly.